This 254-nucleotide ribosomal RNA is filed under the name uncultured bacterium. Its description in RNAcentral is "partial 16S ribosomal RNA". It matches the Rfam family "Bacterial small subunit ribosomal RNA", at positions 524 to 777 of the family's 1533-position model. The record is from RNAcentral.
UACAGAGGGGGCAAGCGUUAUUCGGAAUUAUUGGGCGUAAAGGGCGCGUAGGCGGCCUGGCAAGUGGAUGGUGAAAUCCCUCGGCUUAACCGAGGAACUGCCAUCCAGACUGCUUGGCUUGAGACCGGGAGAGGUGAGUGGAAUUCCCAGUGUAGCGGUGAAAUGCGUAGAUAUUGGGAGGAACACCAGUGGCGAAGGCGGCUCACUGGACCGGUACUGACGCUGAUGCGCGAAAGCGUGGGGAGCAAACAGGG